This 73-nucleotide transfer RNA is filed under the name Candidatus Omnitrophota bacterium. RNAcentral describes it as "Candidatus Omnitrophica bacterium (groundwater metagenome) tRNA-Thr". It matches the Rfam family "tRNA". From Rfam's summary of the family: Transfer RNA (tRNA) molecules are approximately 80 nucleotides in length. Their secondary structure includes four short double-helical elements and three loops (D, anti-codon, and T loops). Further hydrogen bonds mediate the characteristic L-shaped molecular structure. tRNAs have two regions of fundamental functional importance: the anti-codon, which is responsible for specific mRNA codon recognition, and the 3' end, to which the tRNAs corresponding amino acid is attached (by aminoacyl-tRNA synthetases). tRNAs cope with the degeneracy of the genetic code in two manners: having more than one tRNA (with a specific anti-codon) for a particular amino acid; and 'wobble' base-pairing, i.e. permitting non-standard base-pairing at the 3rd anti-codon position. The record is from RNAcentral. Lineage: Bacteria; Pseudomonadati; Candidatus Omnitrophota.
GCUGGCGUAGCUCAGUGAGUAGAGCAGCGGUUUCGUAAACCGCAGGCCGUCAGUGCAAAUCUGACCGCCAGCU